UCGAGAAUAUUUAGCAAUGGGCGAAAGCCUGACUAUGCGACGCCGCGUGAGGGAUGAAGGUCUUCGGAUUGUAAACCUCUUUUGUCAGGAAAGAAAAUUUCAAGACUAACACUCUUGAAACUGACGGUACUUGACGAAUAAGCCACGGCCAACUCUGUGCCAGCAGCCGCGGUAAUACAGAGGUGGCAAGCGUUACUCGGAAUCAUUGGGUGUAAAGGGCAAGUAGGCGGUCUAGUAUGUGAGGGGUGAAAUCUUCCGAUUCAAUCGGAAAACUGCCUUUCAAACUGAUAGACUUGAGGUAGGGAGGGGGAAAUGGAAUUCUCGGUGUAAGGGUGAAAUCUGUAGAUAUCGAGAAGAACACCGGCGGCGAAGGCGAUUUCCUGGCCCUACCCUGACGCUAAAUUGCGAAAGCUAGGGGAGCAAACA
RNAcentral lists this ribosomal RNA (426 nucleotides) under uncultured prokaryote. RNAcentral's name for it is "bacterial SSU rRNA". It matches the Rfam family "Bacterial small subunit ribosomal RNA", at positions 355 to 774 of the family's 1533-position model. The record is from RNAcentral.